Molecule: non-coding RNA, 1725 nt
Organism: Caretta caretta (loggerhead turtle)
Lineage: Eukaryota; Metazoa; Chordata; Testudines; Cheloniidae
Source: RefSeq, a predicted model, not a curated record
CAAUCUAUCAUUUUAAUUGCAUUGUUUUCCUGGGCCCUGGUAAUUGGGAGGACGCGAUCCGUUAUUCGGCUUUCCUGGCGCUGCUUGCUUUGCUGCUGAUGGACUAGGCAUAAGUAUUUCAGCACCUGCACAACCUCCUCAAUGUCAGAGCCAAGUCAAAAAGCGAGAGGAGGCCCCAGGGAGGGGAGGCAGCCCAAGGCAAUGGGCCAGCUUAUAACGCUCAAGCUGCCUGAUGAGUAUGGGUAGGAGAUUUUAGGAUUUUUGUGCUUCAUCAUUUGGACAGUUAACUUUGCCCUUAAGUAUUUUCCCCCAUCCCCAACUGGAAGACAGAUCUGCCGUUCACAUUAGUAAAACACAGGAAGGUCAAAACAAACAGAAAACUAACUCUUGUACUGAAGUCCUUGGCACUCCAAGACAGACACAGAUCACAAAGCCCAAGCAAGAGGCCAUUUUGGGUGGGGAAAUGUGUUUCAGGUGCACUCUCCUUCUGUCUUCUGUAACCCCAGGCAACCAGUGUGCACUGCUUGUAAUCUUGCAGGUGCAGCACCUUGCGGAAAGCAAAUGUAGGCAUCCUGAGGAAUACUGAUUUAUAUAUUAUGAAGUCACUGAGGGGAUGGAGAGGAUAGAACAAGGUUGCUUAGCCAAGAUCCACUGACAAAAAUCAAAGUCCACCCUCCAAAACAAGACACUGCUCACAAUUGAUCUUUAUAAUAUGAUCAUCCCUCUCCUUGUGUGCUUGCUUUAUGCUGUAGGUUUACACUCAUUUCAUAUGGUGAAGAUUUCCUUUGUCACCAUAACGGCUAGAGACUAGUUACAUGCCUAACUCCCAUUGAUUUCAGUAUCUUUGAGGAUCUGGACCUAAGGGUUUAUCUAUAUUUGGGAGUCGGCCAUCAGUCCCCAGAAAUGGAGAUAUAAUAUGUUGUGAGGAUAAAUACAAGACGCUUUGAGAUCUACUGAUGAAAAGUGCUAUAUGAGAGCUGGGUAUCAUUACCAUUCAAGUGCCAACAAGGAAAGCUGCUAUUUGUGAGUUUACCAAGGAGAACACAAACCAAAUGGAUUUUCCUUCAUUGCCUGUGUUGUUGUCAUAAGCAUAACUGAUAACGUCAAUGUCGUCAGCACAAUUCUAGGAAAUACAGUUCAUUAGUUAACCUGCUGGGUAUGUUGCCAUCUUUUCAACAGUAAAAACAAAGCUGUUGGGAGACCAGCAUUUACAAUGGAUAUCAAUUGCCUAUUAAAAGUUUCUUGGUGGAGUAGCAGAUUCCAAAAAUAGGUUUUUAGGAUCCACAGGAUACUUCUAAACCAGCAUAGAGUAUUUUUACGGUCACUGGUCUAAGACUCAGGAGACACUCUCUAUGCCUCCUUUUGCACCCUUUAUCCGUCUGGUCUAUAUAGACUGUACGCUCUUUGAAGUGGGAACUGUCUCUCAUUCUUCGUAGAGUGGAAAGUGCAGUGGGAUCUGAUCUGGGUUAGGGCUGCUGUGUGCUACCAUAAUACAAAUAUUAAAUAAAAAUAACUCAGAACAGUGACUAAGAUUAAGUAUCAAAUUAAUUUUAAUUUGCUAAAACUGGACGUUCUAAAUAACCUAGCCAACAUAUGCAUUAGCAAGAGAUACAAUUAAUAUAAUAUAUACUUGUAUUCCUAAUAAUCUAUUUGUGAUUGAUGGAAUCCAAAAUUAUAUAUAGACCCACAAUAUUGUAUGCCUGCAAUACGUACAGUAUUACAAGA